GGAUGUGAGGUAAUCUGGCUGUGACAUCUGUCACCCAUUGAUCCUCGGGGUUGAUUUGGCUGAUCUGGCUGGCUAGGAGGGUAACCCUUCUUCCUCACUGCUCCAUGUGCAUCCCUCCUGAAUCUGUGCACACUUAGUCAAAGAGGACAGCCUGCCCCCGAAUAACAACAAACUGGUAUUUGGUUGAGGCUAUACAAGAGGCUAUGCUUCCCUGCUAGUACUGCCAAACAAGCUCUUAAGAGCUAGGACAUACUGGUGAGGUCAUCUGCCUAGAGAAAUCGGGAUAGAAUCAUGGCAGCAUCUGCAGUUUUGUGUCU
This is an unclassified non-coding RNA of Erinaceus europaeus (western European hedgehog), 317 nucleotides long. Its record names the gene 7SK. It matches the Rfam family "7SK RNA". Rfam says of the family: 7SK was discovered as an abundant small nuclear RNA in the mid-70s but a possible function has only recently been suggested. Two independent studies have found that 7SK RNA binds the CDK9/cyclin T complex (known as elongation factor P-TEFb). P-TEFb activates transcription by phosphorylating the C-terminal domain of RNA polymerase II. The record is from Ensembl. Lineage: Eukaryota; Metazoa; Chordata; Mammalia; Eulipotyphla; Erinaceidae.